GUGUACCAGUUGUCGUGCCAACGGCAUAGCUGGGUAGCUAUGUAUGGACGGGAUAAGUGCUGAAAGCAUCUAAGCAUGAAGCCCCCCUCGAGAUGAGAUUUCCCAACUUCGGUUAUAAGAUCCCUCAAAGAUGAUGAGGUGAAUAGGUUCGAGGUGGAAGCGUAGCGAUACGUGGAGCUGACGAAUACUAAUCGAUCGAAGACUUAAUCAACAU
RNAcentral lists this ribosomal RNA (214 nucleotides) under Staphylococcus pseudintermedius. RNAcentral describes it as "partial 23S ribosomal RNA". It matches the Rfam family "Bacterial large subunit ribosomal RNA", at positions 2712 to 2925 of the family's 2925-position model. Lineage: Bacteria; Bacillati; Bacillota; Bacilli; Caryophanales; Staphylococcaceae. The record is from RNAcentral.